RNAcentral lists this ribosomal RNA (1226 nucleotides) under metagenome. RNAcentral's name for it is "bacterial LSU rRNA". It matches the Rfam family "Bacterial large subunit ribosomal RNA", at positions 1564 to 2800 of the family's 2925-position model. The record is from RNAcentral.
UGAGUACGAGACGCUAAGGCGUCGAAGUAGUGGAUGUCAUACUUCCAAGAAAAGCUUGCACUGUCAUAGAUAAAAAAUGCCUGUACCAUAACCGACACAGGUGGGUAAGUAGAGUAUACUAAGGGGCGCGAGAUAACUCUCUCUAAGGAACUCGGCAAAAUAACUCCGUAACUUCGGGAGAAGGAGUGCCUUAUUCUUAAGGUCGCAAUAACAAGAUCCAAGCAACUGUUUAUCAAAAACACAGGUCUCCGCUAAGUCGUAAGACGAUGUAUGGGGGCUGACGCCUGCCCAGUGCCAGAAGGUUAAAGAAGUCGGUUAGCAAUAGCAAAGCUGGUAACUGAAGCCCUGGUGAACGGCGGCCGUAACGAUAACGGUCCUAAGGUAGCGAAAUUCCUUGUCGGGUAAGUUCCGACCCGCACGAAAGGCGUAAUGAUUUGGAUGCUGUCUCGGAGAGGGGCUCGGUGAAAUAGACUUGUCUGUGAAGAUGCGGACUACCUGCACCAGGACAGAAAGACCCUAUGAAGCUUUACUGUAACUUGAAAUUGAAAUUGGACUUUAUUCGCGCAGUAUAGGUGGGAGGCGUUGAUUAUAAUCUUGUGGGAUUAUUGGAGCCAUCAGUGAGAUACCACUCUUGUAAUGUUAGAUUUCUAACUUUGAAUCAUUAUCUGGUCAAAGGACAGUUUCAGGCGGGCAGUUUGACUGGGGCGGUCGCCUCCUAAACGGUAACGGAGGCGUACAAAGGUUUCCUCUGAACGGUUAGAAAUCGUAUCUAGAGUGUAAAGGCAUAAGGAAGCUUGACUGUGAGACCUACAAGUCGAGCAGGGACGAAAGUCGGUCUUAGUGAUCUGACGGUACUGAGUGGAAAGGCCGUCACUCAACGGAUAAAAGUUACUCUAAGGAUAACAGGCUGAUCUCCCCAAGAGUUCACAUCGACGGGGAGGUUUGGCACCUCGAUGUCGGCUCAUCGCAUCCUGGGGCGGUAGUACGUCCCAAGGGUUGGGCUGUUCGCCCAUGAAAGCGGUACGCGAGCUGGGUUCAGAACGUCGUGAGACAGUUCGGUCCAUAUCCGGUGUAGGCGCUAGAAUAUUGAGAGGAGCCUUCUUUAGUACGAGAGGACCGAGAAGGACAUACCUCUGGUGUACCAGUUAUCGUGCCAACGGUAAACGCUGGGUAGCUAUGUAUGGAGUGGAUAACCGCUGAAAGCAUCUAAGUGGGACGCCCACCUC